Molecule: ribosomal RNA, 350 nt
Filed under: Methylobacterium radiotolerans
Lineage: Bacteria; Pseudomonadati; Pseudomonadota; Alphaproteobacteria; Hyphomicrobiales; Methylobacteriaceae
Description: bacterial SSU rRNA
Rfam family: Bacterial small subunit ribosomal RNA
Source: RNAcentral
UUUUAACGCGAAGAACCUUACCAUCCUUUGACAUGGCGUGUUACCCAGAGAGAUUUGGGGUCCCCUUCGGGGGCGCGCACACAGGUGCUGCAUGGCUGUCGUCAGCUCGUGUCGUGAGAUGUUGGGUUAAGUCCCGCAACGAGCGCNACCCACGUCCUUAGUUGCCAUCAUUCAGUUGGGCACUCUAGGGAGACUGCCGGUGAUAANCCGACGAGGAAGGUGUGGAUGACGUCAAGUCCUCAUGNCCCUUAUCGGGAUGGGCUACACACGUGCUACAAUGGCGGUGAACAGUGGGACGCGAAGGAGCGAUCUGGAGCAAAUCCCCAAAAGCCGUCUCAGUUCGGAUUGCA